RNAcentral lists this long non-coding RNA (770 nucleotides) under Olea europaea subsp. europaea. The record is from RNAcentral. Lineage: Eukaryota; Viridiplantae; Streptophyta; Magnoliopsida; Lamiales; Oleaceae.
GUAGGAACUGUUUUAUGAAUUUUUGUUCGUCGUGUCAUUUUAGGAACACUCAGCCGCGGUUCCAAUUCGUUGUUAUGAAUAUGCGGAGGGAAGGUUUGGAUAUUUUCAUUUUCUCGAUCUAUCUUGGUUCAUUCAUUCAAUCUUUUGUUCUACUUUUCCUUAUUUUUAACCACACAUUCUCCAACAAAACACUAUUUCAAAAUGCAUUUUGGCCCAAUGUUUACAUAUAUAAGGUAAAGGCUGUAUGAUGCAUAAAUAUUUUGGUGCACUCUAAACUAAAGAUGUUCUAUAAGCACUGUAGAAUCAAGUGCACACUAGAUGAUUAAUUAUUUAUUUUAUGGUCAUUAGUGUAGCACUUUUUGUCUAUGAAACGUUGAAAUAUUGUAGCUAUUUCAAGUAAAUAAGGUUGGGAAAUCACAUAUCAAGAACUGAUGAUAAAACCGAGUUUAAAUGUGAAAAAAUGGUUGUAUAUGCUGAUCAUAGUUAUUUACAUGUAGAGCGAAACACACAAUUAAGCUCCAUGCCGGUUGUAUUUUGAAAUUGUAGAUGACUAUGAUUGAUAAACCUAGAGCUAUGUUUGUGCAUAGUUAUAAGCUCCUACAUGGGUUGGAAUGGAAGGGAGAAAGAUUAAAAGAAGUGGAAGAUAAGAUGUCAUUCUUCUGGAUUAUUGUGUGCUUUGUGCUUGUGAAAAUAUCUUCUGCUCUUAUCCUUUUGAAAAGAUAUGGAUUGUUUUCAAUUUUCAUUGUGACCUGAGGAUAUCAUCUCAUCCG